RNAcentral lists this non-coding RNA (87 nucleotides) under Polarella glacialis. Lineage: Eukaryota; Dinophyceae; Suessiales; Suessiaceae. The record is from RNAcentral.
AAAAGAAGAACACACAGGAGAUUCGCGUAACAAUCUAAGUAUGGGGGCCGCAAUGCUUGUUUUUUUUUAUUGUUUUUUUUUUUUUUU